Dreissena polymorpha is the source of this 841-nucleotide long non-coding RNA. RefSeq lists it as uncharacterized. The record is from RefSeq and is a predicted model, not a curated record. Lineage: Eukaryota; Metazoa; Mollusca; Bivalvia; Myida; Dreissenidae. The transcript is spliced from 3 exons.
CACAACUAGGAUGUAUAUUACCCUACCCGUGGCCGAAUACAUGAGUUCAUACCGUCAUUACUUUGUUCGCAUGAGCUUUGGAAGGAAGUUAAAAUGGUGUUGCGCAUUAUUCUUGUGGUGUUAUUUGUAAUGUUCAGAGCUGAUGCUUCCUGUGUUAAUCAAUAUGCUGAGAUCGGGGAUCAUAAUGUGCAGCUGGUGUUCAGUUUCACUUGGAAUACGACAGAGUAUAUACAAGUAGUGUGUUACAAAGGACAAAUUCGUCUCGGAGAAUGCAUAAGGGUAGUUACUGCCACAUGUGCAGUCUCUGCAACAACUGUUAGGGUCUACACAAUUUCUUCAAGUGACGCCCUCACGUCUAUAUACAUCACAAUUGAUUUUUUUAAUGACACAACUGCAGGAGAAUAUUACUGUUCGACACAUGACCGCAUUCAACAUCAGGCGAUAUGCAUUUACAGCAAAGUAAAUCUUACUUCAUUAACUCUGCUUCCGAAUACCAACAUAUCAUACCCAGUACACAAUGGCCAAUCAACGUUCACGUGCAUCACAUCACCAAGUAGACCUGUCUCAAGGAUUCAUUGGUUUGUAGAAGGUCGGAACAUUACUGACAUGGCCAGCUAUGCUUACAGCUCUGAUAUUGCAACAAGCAAUCUUAGAUAUACGUCUCAAUCAUACAACAAUAUGAAUUUAAUCUGUACAGCAAACUACGUGUUUAAAUCAACGAACAUAACAUUGCAAAGAGGAACGAGGAUGAUCGUGCAAUGUAAGUUUUACCAAUCCUAUUUUCAUAUAAACCCAUAAUCAACUGAUUAUUAUGUCUUUGCAUCACACUGUAUCCAUUUUA